This is a long non-coding RNA of Micropterus dolomieu (smallmouth bass), 633 nucleotides long. RefSeq lists it as uncharacterized. The transcript has 3 exons. NCBI's taxonomy places the organism in Eukaryota, Metazoa, Chordata, Actinopteri, Centrarchiformes, Centrarchidae. The record is from RefSeq and is a predicted model, not a curated record.
CUGUUCUUUACUUUAAUGGCUGGUAAUAAGCAUUAUUUGAACUGAAUAAUUCCACUGAAUUGACAGACGGUGAGAAAUGCAAUACAAUCUGAGGGAGAAAGAUGCCAAAUGUUGGGGACUACAAUUCAGCACCAUGGACAGUGUUCAUCUUGACUCGUCCUCAGGCUAAAGUGAGUGUUUCGUGAGAGGGAAGCUGCUGCUGGGAGGCCCAACUGUCAGUCCAGAUCCAAAGUGGAGGCUGUGAUUACAGGUGUACGCACACACAACAGUUAACACAUAAACAAACACACACACCCGGGAAUAAAGCAGUGGCAUUCUCAGUGUGGCUGUGGCCAGCAGUUGCCAUAGGCUACGGAAACACACACACAUGCACACCAAGCUGCUUCUAUGGACGUAAUGAUGGUACGCCGAUGUUUGUUCUGAUGAGUUUACUUUUCUGUUUGUGGUGAUUAGUAUUUGAUCCCUGCCAUAAACUGGAGUAGUUAAUAUGUGUGUGUGUCUGUGUGAUAUCGGUGUCGUGUAAUUUGUCAGUGUGAGCGUGACACAAGAUGCAAGACGUCCAAUAAGUCUAUCUACGUGGGUUAUACAUGUUUGUGUUUUUAGUGUGUGAGUGUCUACUUUAUAUUUUGAUUU